Molecule: ribosomal RNA, 292 nt
Filed under: uncultured Corynebacterium sp.
Lineage: Bacteria; Bacillati; Actinomycetota; Actinomycetes; Mycobacteriales; Corynebacteriaceae
Description: partial 16S ribosomal RNA
Rfam family: Bacterial small subunit ribosomal RNA
Source: RNAcentral
GUGCAGCAGCCGCGGUAAUACGUAGGGUGCGAGCGUUGUCCGGAAUUACUGGGCGUAAAGAGCUCGUAGGUGGUUUGUCGCGUCGUUUGUGUAAGCCCAUGGCUUAACUGUGGGACUGCAGGCGAUACGGGCAUAACUUGAGUGCUGUAGGGGAGACUGGAAUUCCUGGUGUAGCGGUGAAAUGCGCAGAUAUCAGGAGGAACACCGAUGGCGAAGGCAGGUCUCUGGGCAGUUACUGACGCUGAGGAGCGAAAGCAUGGGGAGCGAACAGGAUUAGAAACCCGAGUAGUCC